CCAGACUCCUACGGGAGGCAGCAGUGAGGAAUAUUGGUCAAUGGGCGUAAGCCUGAACCAGCCAAGUCGCGUGAGGGACGACGGCCCUACGGGUUGUAAACCUCUUUUGCCGGGGGACAAACGGCGGCACGCGUGCCGUCCUGAGGGUACCCGGAGAAAAAGCAUCGGCUAACUCCGUGCCAGCAGCCGCGGUAAUACGGAGGAUGCGAGCGUUAUCCGGAUUUAUUGGGUUUAAAGGGUGCGUAGGCGGGAUGCCAAGUCAGCGGUCAAAUCGUGGGGCUCAACCCCAUCCAGCCGUUGAAACUGGGGAUCUAGAGUGUGCGAGAGGUAUGCGGAAUGCGUGGUGUAGCGGUGAAAUGCAUAGAUAUCACGCAGAACCCCGAUUGCGAAGGCAGCAUGCCGGCUUCCGACUGACGCUGAAGCACGAAAGCGUGGGGAUCGAACAGGAUUAGAUACCCCUGUA
Molecule: ribosomal RNA, 463 nt
Filed under: uncultured bacterium
Lineage: Bacteria
Description: bacterial SSU rRNA
Rfam family: Bacterial small subunit ribosomal RNA
Source: RNAcentral